Molecule: ribosomal RNA, 447 nt
Filed under: uncultured bacterium
Lineage: Bacteria
Description: bacterial SSU rRNA
Rfam family: Bacterial small subunit ribosomal RNA
Source: RNAcentral
GGACCAGACUCCUACGGGAGGCAGCAGUGGGGGAUAUUGCACAAUGGGGGGAACCCUGAUGCAGCGACGCCGCGUGGGUGAAGAAGCGCCUCGGCGCGUAAAGCCCUGUCAGCAGGGAAGAAAAUGACGGUACCUGAAGAAGAAGCCCCGGCUAACUACGUGCCAGCAGCCGCGGUAAUACGUAGGGGGCAAGCGUUAUCCGGAUUCACUGGGUGUAAAGGGAGCGUAGACGGCGACGCAAGUCUGGAGUGAAAGCCCGGGGCCCAACCCCGGGACUGCUCUGGAAACUGCGUCGCUGGAGUACGGGAGGGGCAGGCGGAAUUCCUGGUGUAGCGGUGAAAUGCGUAGAUAUCAGGAGGAACACCGGCGGCGAAGGCGGCCUGCUGGACCGCGACUGACGUUGAGGCUCGAAAGCGUGGGGAGCGAACAGGAUUAGAUACCCUCGUA